CCUACGGGGUGCAGCAGUGGGGAAUAUUGGACAAUGGGCGAAAGCCUGAUCCAGCCAUGCCGCGUGUGUGAAGAAGGCCUUCGGGUUGUAAAGCACUUUCAGUGGGGAAGAAAGCCUUGGGGCUAAUACCCUCGAGGAAGGACAUCACCCACAGAAGAAGCACCGGCUAACUCCGUGCCAGCAGCCGCGGUAAACCGGAGGGUGCGAGCGUUAAUCGGAAUUACUGGGCGUAAAGCGCGCGUAGGCGGUCUGAUAAGCCGGUUGUGAAAGCCCCGGGCUCAACCUGGGAACGGCAUCCGGAACUGUCAGGCUAGAGUGCAGGAGAGGAAGGUAGAAUUCCCGGUGUAGCGGUGAAAUGCGUAGAGAUCGGGAGGAAUACCAGUGGCGAAGGCGGCCUUCUGGACUGACACUGACGCUGAGGUGCGAAAGCGUGGGUAGCAAACAGGAUUAGAUACCCUGGUAGUC
Molecule: ribosomal RNA, 465 nt
Filed under: Vreelandella stevensii
Lineage: Bacteria; Pseudomonadati; Pseudomonadota; Gammaproteobacteria; Oceanospirillales; Halomonadaceae
Description: partial 16S ribosomal RNA
Rfam family: Bacterial small subunit ribosomal RNA
Source: RNAcentral